UAGGGAAUCUUCCGCAAUGGACGAAAGUCUGACGGAGCAACGCCGCGUGAGUGAAGAAGGAUUUCGGUUCGUAAAACUCUGUUGUCAGGGAAGAAAAAAUGUAUAGUAACUAUAUACAAAAGAGACGGUACCUAACCAGAAAGCCACGGCGAACUACGUGCCAGCAGCCGCGGUAAUACGUAGGUGGCAAGCGUUGUCCGGAAUUAUUGGGCGUAAAGCGCGCGCAGGUGGUUUAGAAAGUCUGAUGUGAAAGCCCACGGCUCAACCGUGGAGGGUCAUUGGAAACUACUAAACUUGAGUGCAGGAGAGAAAAGUGGAAUUCCUAGUGUAGCGGUGAAAUGCGUAGAGAUUAGGAGGAACACCGGUGGCGAAAGCGGCUUUUUGGCCUGCAACUGACACUGAGGCGCGAAAGCGUGGGGAGCAAACAGG
Molecule: ribosomal RNA, 429 nt
Filed under: Verrucomicrobiota bacterium
Lineage: Bacteria; Pseudomonadati; Verrucomicrobiota
Description: Verrucomicrobia bacterium partial 16S ribosomal RNA
Rfam family: Bacterial small subunit ribosomal RNA
Source: RNAcentral